This 497-nucleotide ribosomal RNA is filed under the name uncultured bacterium. Its description in RNAcentral is "partial 16S ribosomal RNA". It matches the Rfam family "Bacterial small subunit ribosomal RNA", at positions 28 to 507 of the family's 1533-position model. The record is from RNAcentral.
GAUGAACGCUGGCGGCGUGCCUAAUACAUGCAAGUCGAGCGAACAGACGAGGAGCUUGCUCCUCUGACGUUAGCGGCGGACGGGUGAGUAACACGUGGAUAACCUACCUAUAAGACUGGGAUAACUUCGGGAAACCGGAGCUAAUACCGGAUAAUAUAUUGAACCGCAUGGUUCAAUAGUGAAAGACGGUUUUGCUGUCACUUAUAGAUGGAUCCGCGCCGCAUUAGCUGGUUGGUAAGGUAACGGCUUACCAAGGCGACGAUGCGUAGCCGACCUGAGAGGGUGAUCGGCCACCCUGGAACUGGGACACGGUCCAGGCUCCUACGGGAGGCAGCAGUAGGGAAUCUUCCGCAAUGGGCGAAAGCCUGACGGAGCAACGCCGCGUGAGUGAUGAAGGUCUUCGGAUCGUAAAACUCUGUUAUUAGGGAAGAACAAAUGUGUAAGUAACUAUGCACGUCUUGACGGUACCUAAUCAGAAAGCCACGGCUAACUACGUG